This 419-nucleotide ribosomal RNA is filed under the name Anaplasma phagocytophilum. RNAcentral describes it as "bacterial SSU rRNA". It matches the Rfam family "Bacterial small subunit ribosomal RNA", at positions 1034 to 1454 of the family's 1533-position model. The record is from RNAcentral. Lineage: Bacteria; Pseudomonadati; Pseudomonadota; Alphaproteobacteria; Rickettsiales; Anaplasmataceae.
ACAGGUGCUGCAUGGCUGUCGUCAGCUCGUGUCGUGAGAAGUUGGGUUAAGUCCCGCAACGAGCGUAACCCUCAUCCCUAGUUGCCAGCGGGUAAGCCGGGCACUUUAAGGAAACUGCCGGUGGUAAACCGGAGGAAGGUGGGGAUGAUGUCAAGUCAGCACGGCCCUUAUGGGGUGGGCUACACACGUGCUACAAUGGUGACUACAAUAGGUUGCAAUGUCGCAAGGCUGAGCUAAUCCGUAAAAGUCAUCUCAGUUCGGAUUGUCCUCUGCAACUCGAGGGCAUGAAGUCGGAAUCGCUAGUAAUCGUGGAUCAGCAUGCCACGGUGAAUACGUUCUCGGGUCUUGUACACACUGCCCGUCACGCCAUGGGAAUUGGCUUAACUCGAAGCUGGUGCGCUAACCGAAAGGAGGCAGCC